AUUGAACGCUGGCGGCAGGCUUAACACAUGCAAGUCGAACGAUGAUUAUCUAGCUUGCUAGAUAUGAUUAGUGGCGGACGGGUGAGUAACAUUUAGGAAUCUGCCUAGUAGUGGGGGAUAGCUCGGGGAAACUCGAAUUAAUACCGCAUACGACCUACGGGUGAAAGGGGGCGCAAGCUCUUGCUAUUAGAUGAGCCUAAAUCAGAUUAGCUAGUUGGUGGGGUAAAGGCCCACCAAGGCGACGAUCUGUAACUGGUCUGAGAGGAUGAUCAGUCACACCGGAACUGAGACACGGUCCGGACUCCUACGGGAGGCAGCAGUGGGGAAUAUUGGACAAUGGGGGCAACCCUGAUCCAGCCAUGCCGCGUGUGUGAAGAAGGCCUUUUGGUUGUAAAGCACUUUAAGCAGGGAGGAGAGGCUAAUGGUUAAUACCCAUUAGAUUAGACGUUACCUGCAGAAUAAGCACCGGCUAACUCUGUGCCAGCAGCCGCGGUAAUACAGAGGGUGCGAGCGUUAAUCGGAAUUACUGGGCGUAAAGCGAGUGUAGGUGGCUCAUUAAGUCACAUGUGAAAUCCCCGGGCUUAACCUGGGAACUGCAUGUGAUACUGGUGGUGCUAGAAUAUGUGAGAGGGAAGUAGAAUUCCAGGUGUAGCGGUGAAAUGCGUAGAGAUCUGGAGGAAUACCGAUGGCGAAGGCAGCUUCCUGGCAUAACAUUGACACUGAGAUUCGAAAGCGUGGGUAGCAAACAGGAUUAGAUACCCUGGUAGUCCACGCCGUAAACGAUGUCUACUAGCCGUUGGGGUCCUUGGGACUUUAGUGGCGCAGUUAACGCGAUAAGUAGACCGCCUGGGGAGUACGGCCGCAAGGUUAAAACUCAAAUGAAUUGACGGGGGCCCGCACAGGCGGUGGAGCAUGUGGUUUAAUUCGAUGCAACGCGAAGAACCUUACCUGGUCUUGACAUAGUGAGAAUCCUGCAGAGAUGCGGGAGUGCCUUCGGGAAUUCACAUACAGGUGCUGCAUGGCUGUCGUCAGCUCGUGUCGUGAGAUGUUGGGUUAAGUCCCGCAACGUGCGCAACCCUUUUCCUUAUUUGCCAGCGGGUUAAGCCGGGAACUUUAAGGAUACUGCCAGUGACAAACUGGAGGAAGGCGGGGACGACGUCAAGUCAUCAUGGCCCUUACGACCAGGGCUACACACGUGCUACAAUGGUAGGUACAGAGGGUUGCUACACAGCGAUGUGAUGCUAAUCUCAAAAAGCCUAUCGUAGUCCGGAUUGGAGUCUGCAACUCGACUCCAUGAAGUCGGAAUCGCUAGUAAUCGCAGAUCAGAAUGCUGCGGUGAAUACGUUCCCGGGCCU
RNAcentral lists this ribosomal RNA (1355 nucleotides) under uncultured bacterium. RNAcentral's name for it is "bacterial SSU rRNA". It matches the Rfam family "Bacterial small subunit ribosomal RNA", at positions 28 to 1381 of the family's 1533-position model. The record is from RNAcentral.